AAUGCACGAUUGAACCCAAGCUGCCUGUUGAUACAAUAUAACUAAUUAAUAAUAUAAUAACUCCAAAGUAUUCCAGCAAUGUUAGGUUGAUAACACGAUUAAGGUUCAUAACCAAUUUUAGCAGUCUUGCAGAAUAAAAUGCAUAACAAAAUUACCUAAAUAUCCUAGAUUUGCAACCUGAAAUAGUUUCAUGAAUGAAUUAGAAAAUAUAAAUAGUUCCAAGUGUGUAUUCACAGGUUCAUCAUCAGAUUCAAAUUCAAUUCCAUAAUUGUAGUCUUGUUCAACCACCAACUUUCCUAAAAACAUGCUAAGCACCACCAACUUUCCUUAAAAUAUAGUACUAAGCUUAUAGGUAGAGUAGAUGCUCAUUAAUGAAUGAUUUGAUGUCUCUAAACUAAUCUUUUAUAUGAGUGUAUUGGAGCUUGGAGCAUUGAUGCCUGGCUAUCAAUCUUGGAUAGCUUGUGCGGAAUGACUAACCGCAAAACUGCUAUAGAAAAUAGAGCCUGCUGCUUCAUUAAAGAUCAUAAUACAAGUCAAAUGUUCUGUACGAGACAUAUAUAAAUGCUCAAAAAUAAAAGAGUACUCAAAAUUAAAUCAAUGUUUUAACUUGUAAUAAAAAACUCAUAAUCUU
RNAcentral lists this long non-coding RNA (631 nucleotides) under Trifolium pratense (red clover). RNAcentral's name for it is "long non-coding RNA (TPRA_LNC010018)". Lineage: Eukaryota; Viridiplantae; Streptophyta; Magnoliopsida; Fabales; Fabaceae. The record is from RNAcentral.